AUGAACGCUGGCGGCGUGCCUAAUCCAUGCAAGUCGAGCGAACAGACGAGGAGCUUGCUCCUCUGACGUUAGCGGCGGACGGGUGAGUAACACGUGGAUAACCUACCUAUAAGACUGGGAUAACUUCGGGAAACCGGAGCUAAUACCGGAUAAUAUAUUGAACCGCAUGGUUCAAUAGUGAAAGACGGUUUUGCUGUCACUUAUAGAUGGAUCCGCGCCGCAUUAGCUAGUUGGUAAGGUAACGGCUUACCAAGGCAACGAUGCGUAGCCGACCUGAGAGGGUGAUCGGCCACACUGGAACUGAGACACGGUCCAGACUCCUACGGGAGGCAGCAGUAGGGCAUCUUCCGCAAUGGGCGAAAGCCUGACGGAGCAACGCCGCGUGAGUGAUGAAGGUCUUCGGAUCGUAAAACUCUGUUAUUAGGGAAGAACAAAUGUGUAAGUAACUAUGCACGUCUUGACGGUACCUAAUCAGAAAGCCACGGCUAACUACGUG
This 496-nucleotide ribosomal RNA is filed under the name uncultured bacterium. RNAcentral describes it as "partial 16S ribosomal RNA". It matches the Rfam family "Bacterial small subunit ribosomal RNA", at positions 29 to 507 of the family's 1533-position model. The record is from RNAcentral.